CCAAUAGCGUAUAUUAAAGUUGUUGCAGUUAAAAAGCUCGUAGUUGAAUUUCGGGGUUAGUAGAUUGGUCGUGCCACUGGUAUGUACUGGUCUUACUGAUUCCUCCUUCCUGAUGAACCGUAAUGCCAUUAAUUUGGUGUUGCGGGGAGACUGGACUGUUACUUUGAAAAAAUUAGAGUGUUUAAAGCAAGCUAACGCUUGAAUACAUUAGCAUGGAAUAAUGAAAUAGGACGUUCGAUCCUAUUUUGUUGGUUUCUAGGAUUGACGUAAUGAUUAAUAGGGAUAGUUGGGGGCAUUAGUAUUCAAUUGUCAGAGGUGAAAUUCUUGGAUUUAUUGAAGACUAACUACUGCGAAAGCAUUUGCCAAGGAUGUUUUCAUUAAUCAAGAACGAAAGUUAGGGGAUCGAAGACGAUCAGAUACCGUCGUAGUCUUAACCAUAAACUAUGCCGACUAGGGAUCGGAUGAUGUUAAUUUUUUAAUGACUCAUUCGGCGCCUUACG
RNAcentral lists this ribosomal RNA (500 nucleotides) under uncultured Glomeromycotina. Its description in RNAcentral is "partial small subunit ribosomal RNA". It matches the Rfam family "Eukaryotic small subunit ribosomal RNA", at positions 591 to 1092 of the family's 1831-position model. The record is from RNAcentral. Lineage: Eukaryota; Fungi; Glomeromycota.